GUGCGCCACCACGCCCGGCGGAACCAACUUCUUUAACAUCACAGGGAAGUUGGAGCACACUUAGCAUUCCCUUUGGAUGUAGACCUCUGCCUCCUCCUGAGUUCACAGUGGCCAUGAGAGCAGCAGAGACGUGGAGACAUGUCUGCAUGUUGACAUGACCCCAGCUCCCUGACUCCUCCUCCUCCUCCUCCUCCUCCUCCUCCUCCUCCUCCUCCUCUUCUCUCUCUCUCUCUCUCUCUCUCUCUCUCUCUCUCUCUCUCUCUCUCUCUCUCCCUUUUCCUCCCUCCAUCUCCCCACCCCUGCCCUGAGAAAUAGAUAAGAUUCUUUUGAUAUGGGCCAGGGAUCAAUCAAGGCUGGUUCGCUUUGAUUAGAGUAGAAGCUCACUCUGAAGGUAAUCUCUGAGCAGGUCACUGCAUUGGGAAGCCAGACAGUUUAAUUUCCUCCAAUGCUCUAAGGCUUGCAUGUCACCAUGAGACUGAUGCUGGAGGAGGCCCUCAGCCAUAGAGGAGGGAGACCAGAAGCAUAGCACCUUGAUGAACACAAUCUAAGAGCCACCAUUGAUUGAUUGAUUGAUUGAUUUGCCAGACUGCUCACUGUUCUCUGUAGGGAACAUGUUUAACUCCUACAUACUGUGAAAAAGACAGACACCUCCGUUUUCACCCAAGGAAACAAGCUUAGAGGUGUUGAGUGUCUCACCCAGGGUCAGAGAGCCCAGGCCUGGAGGCUGGGGAUGAGAGCACAGGCCUGGCUGUCUGUAAAGCAGGCACUUCCUCAGAACCCUCUGCUGCUUCCCAGCAGCCUUUGGCUCUCUCACACCCAGCUCCAUGGUGUGGAUCCUCAGUAGAAGUGAUGACAGGAAGGUAUAUAUGGGUUUAUCCUCAGUGCUUAUGAAGCUGAGCGAGCACCUUUAACAAGUGACCUUUGCUACUUCAUGUGACACAUUUUUAUGUUAUACUUCUUUCCUCAUUGAAGUCAUUGCUCUUUGGAGCUGGAAAUAGGCCAUGUUUUUAGAUGCAGCUAUCAGUUACAGGGUGUAAUUCUUAUACAAUAUUUAGUGAUGUUAAAGUCAUUUGAUAAUAAUUAAAACAAAAUACCACAGUUGCCCUGUCUAACCCCAAGCCACGCCCAUGAGGAAAAAAAAAAUUCUUUCCAAAGUUGUACUGUUACUUUCUUGUCCCCCAAAAGAGUAUAAUGUCACUUUUUAAAAUAAUUAUGGGAAAGUGCAUUUAAAAGCCAUAUGAAGUAGAUUUCAUUUCCUGAAAUAAAAUGUUAGUUGAUUUUCAAGUCCUUAUGUUGAUGAGCAAUGAAAGCUCACUAAACGAGAAAUACGCAGUUGGCCCAUGGCACACAUUUCAUGGAUAAACCAUUGCAUGCUGGGAAAUGGUUCUGCUCUGCAUCCUGACAACCCCAAGACUGGAUAUGUACGGUAGAUACUUAGUGAUCCAGUCUUAAGUAGAUUUCACAGUGUCCAAACUCAGACUUAAAAGGACUCGAGAUUAUGGGUAUGAGCACAUCCAAACAACAAGACUACAUUACAUCCUUUGGGUUUUUUCCUAGUAUUGUUUCCCUGUGUUUCCCUGGCUGACCUGGAGUUCACUGGGUAGACUAAGCUGGAUUCAAAUUUACAAAGCUCUUGCUUCUGCUCCCGGAGUGUUGGGAUUAUAGGCAUGAACUACCACACUACUAUAUUCAUGUUUUGAGGUGUUUUUUUUUAAAGAAUGUAUGUGGGUACACAUCUGUGGAAAUGUGUGCCUUGUGUGUGUGCACUUGAGGAAGGAAGACAGAAGAGGAUGCUGACGUGAAGCACCCAUCAUGGCCGCUGGGAACCAAACUCCAUUCCUCUAACAGAGCAGCAAAUGCUUUUAACUGCUGAACCAUCUCCCCAGCCCUACGUUCAUUUUGGAGUUUUUUGGUUUUUUAAACAUGAGAUUUAAAAAAAAAAUAGAUGAGGCUUUUGCCAUGUGAUUAUAUUUUCUCAUUUGAGCUUUUGAUAUCCAUCAUGGUGCCCAGCUUUUAAGGUAUGAAUGCUUUUUAAACUACAUUUGAAUUACCAUUUAGGGGUAUGUAUAGAGAAAAUUGUUAAAUCUGCUCUAAAAUGUCUACCAGAUAGCUUUCUGAUCAUCAUGUUAGUGAUAUAUACUUCCACCCCUAAAAUGGGAUAAUCAAUGACCUGUUUCCCAACUGCUACCAGUUGCCCUGGCAACAUUGUUAUCCUUUGAGAGACAGAGCAAUGACAGUUAUAUACAGUGUCUCAUUUGCCAGGCUAGACCCUGUUCCAUGCACUUUACCCAGGUUAGCUCUUUGUCUAUGUUAACUCCUCUUGGGACUGGAAGGUGGAAAUGAAAAAUAAUCUCACUGCUUUUUCAUAAUCAGCUAUAGGCCCCAGGUAAGUAGGCGUUGUAACCAUCGUGGGUCUUCCAUGUCUAUGACUUGCACAUCUGUGGAGUCCAUUAAUCACAGAUUGAAACUGUCCAGAAAUUAAAGCACGCCUCUUGGUAAGUGUUUUGUUUUCCUAGCCCAGUGUGGUUGGAUGGACUGGAAUGCUAGCACUGAGGUACUGUGGUUAUGAAAACUGCUGUCAGUUCAAGUCCAACCUGGUCUGCAUAGUGAGUGCUCAGUCAGGCAGGUCUAAAUAGUGAGACUCUACCUCACUAGUUGUCUUUGUUUUCUUUAAGACAGGACCUUGCUAGGUGGCCCUGGCUGGCCUGGAAAUAUUAGCAUCCAUCCCUCCAGCCUCUGCCUUCUUCUUGCUGAAAUUAUAUGUGCAUACCACCAGCCUUGUUUUGUUUUCUUGAGGCCAGGAAUAUAUUUGGUCCUAGAAAACAUGUUCAUCAUGCACAAGAUCAUGAGAUUGAUCCGUAGG
Molecule: long non-coding RNA, 2863 nt
Filed under: Mus musculus (house mouse)
Lineage: Eukaryota; Metazoa; Chordata; Mammalia; Rodentia; Muridae
Description: long non-coding RNA chr2:128765077-128767940
Source: RNAcentral